AUUGAACGCUGGCGGCAUGCUUUACACAUGCAAGUCGAACGGCAGCGCGGGCUUCGGCCUGGCGGCGAGUGGCGAACGGGUGAGUAAUACAUCGGAACGUGCCCAGUAGUGGGGGAUAGCUCGGCGAAAGCCGGAUUACUACCGCAUACGACCUGAGGGUGCAAGCGGGGGAUCUUCGGACCUCGCGCUAUUGGAGCGGCCGAUGGCAGAUUAGCUAGUUGGUGGGGUAAAGGCCUACCAAGGCGACUAUCUGUAGCUGGUCUGAGAGGACGACCAGCCACACUGGGACUUAGACACGGCCCAUACUCCUACGGGAGGCAGCAGUGGGGAAUUUUGGACAAUGGGCGAAAGCCUGAUCCAGCAAUGCCGCGUGUGAUAUGAAGGCCUUCGGGUUGGAAAGCACUUUUGGCGGGAACGAAAAGGACUGUGCCAAUACCACGGUUCGAUGACGGUACCCGCAGAAUAAGCACCGGCUAACUACGUG
This 484-nucleotide ribosomal RNA is filed under the name uncultured bacterium. RNAcentral's name for it is "partial 16S ribosomal RNA". It matches the Rfam family "Bacterial small subunit ribosomal RNA", at positions 30 to 507 of the family's 1533-position model. The record is from RNAcentral.